Gadus morhua (Atlantic cod) is the source of this 541-nucleotide long non-coding RNA. RefSeq lists it as uncharacterized. NCBI's taxonomy places the organism in Eukaryota, Metazoa, Chordata, Actinopteri, Gadiformes, Gadidae. The record is from RefSeq and is a predicted model, not a curated record. The transcript has 3 exons.
CAACGUGCCCUCACGCUGCCCUCACUGCCCUGACGUGCCCAGACGUGCCCUGCUCGCUAAGCUGCUGGAGACGGCCACUACUAGUCUUGUUAAACCGAAGAAGACCCGAGGGAGUGAACAACUGGUCCGAGAUGCCUCGUAAGGAGAGGAGGUUAAAACAAAAACAAAAGGAGCUGCGUGAGGCUGCGAAAGGCAGUGGAUCACUCACCAGUUGGAUGACAAAGAGCACAAAAGUUCAAGCAGUCAGCCUUGGCUGCAGCCUCUCUCAGCAAGUAGUCUUCUCCAAACUAUCAGCAGUAUGGCAGGUAAGUCACAGUGAGCCAUUUUCAAUGUUAGUUAUCUUUGCAACUUGUUAUGAUCACAUAACAGCCACUAUCUCUCCCAUGCUCUUUCUAGUGUCUACACUAUGAGAUCAAUACAGCCCACCUCCAGCAAUAUCAGCAGCAGCAGCCUCCUCACCAACCCCCCCAACAGAAGCUGUUCAAUGUACCCAUGAGGUAAAACAGAGACUCAUUUUGCUUUGCACUGACCUCUCACAAAU